Long non-coding RNA from Conger conger (European conger), 914 nucleotides. RefSeq lists it as uncharacterized. The transcript is spliced from 4 exons. The record is from RefSeq and is a predicted model, not a curated record. Lineage: Eukaryota; Metazoa; Chordata; Actinopteri; Anguilliformes; Congridae.
UUGUGUUUCAAACGCGCCAUUGCACCAGUGAAUAUAGGCAUGUAGUAUAGACAGUGUACUCUGUAUACAGUCGGCGAUGUGCACAUAUUAUUGCAGUUAAACACAAACGCGUAACAAUUGGAGACACGUGACAAUGGCAUGAAGUGCUCCUAAAAUAAAAACCUUAGCUAGAAGGGUAGCUAGCUUACCAGCGCUACUUGGUCCCUAAACUAGCAAAGCAAGCUACACACGAGGUAGGGCAUUCAGCUAGGCCAUCUACUGGCUAGCCUGCUAGCUGGAAGACUGUUAGCUACCUUACUAACCAUCAUUAGCCGCCUACGGCCUCCAUGUCUACGCUUACUUCUUGGAUCGUUAUGGCUGCCUGUUCAGUGACGACGUGACGCAAGCGGCGGGAGAAUCAAACGUCAUUGCGUAUCAAACGGAGGCUUGGGCGCAGCAGCUCAGCGGCUAAGAACGAACAACAGAUGAAGUGAAAAGAAAAGCUCUUCCUGAGUCACCCUCGUCAGUCAGUUAGCCUGAAGAGGAUACGCUCCAGUCAAUCCCACAUCCCACGAGGAAAACGGGACUGGACGGCACAGAACAGAGGCAUCAUUGCAGCUCAUUAUAAAUAAUGCAGGCCAACGAUGAGCACUAGGGCCUGGGGAAGGCCUGCACUGCUUGGGCUGUGUGCUACUGUAAAUAUAGCCACAGUGUGCAGCUCUGGGCCUAGCUAAGUUACAGAGUCCAGCGCACUGAGCUGAAGCUCCGCCAGUGUCUUUCUCUCUCUCUCUCUCUCUUAAUCCUUCCGGACCUGUCAUCCUCAGCCUCCACAGUUGUGUGACUGAAUCUGUGUUUACAUGUGCGUUUGUUAGUAUUAGUGUGGGAAAUGUGUGUGUGAGAGGUGUAUUCUCUCUGUGACUGAGUGUAUGUGAGGG